Eucalyptus grandis is the source of this 1538-nucleotide long non-coding RNA. RefSeq lists it as uncharacterized. The transcript is spliced from 2 exons. NCBI's taxonomy places the organism in Eukaryota, Viridiplantae, Streptophyta, Magnoliopsida, Myrtales, Myrtaceae. The record is from RefSeq and is a predicted model, not a curated record.
UAGGGUUCUUCCAACUUCCACUCGCCUCCCUUUAGAAGAGAAAGUAAAGGCCAAUGUCUUUUUUUUUUUCUUUUUUUUCUUUUUUUAAUCUCUCUUUCAAAUAGAGAGAGAGUUGCUCAUAAAUACGUCAACCCUCGAAAUUAUUUUGAUCAACACCCCCACCUCUUCCUUAUGUGGAAUCUCUCUCUCUCUCUCUCUCUCUCUCUCUCUCGGUGAGGGUUAAGCUUGAGCUUGGUAUAAAUGGGGAGACCGACGGACGGCAGGAAUGGGAACGGCAAGAGGAGAUAGACAAUCGAAGGUGGAUAGAGAGAGAUUGGGAGGGAAGAAGUGUGGCAAAAGAUGAAGCGACUGAAGAUGUUGGCGCGCCUCAAACUAAUGGCGUGGUUAGAAAUUGACUCCUCCUUCAUCCCUAACCCCACCUUAUUGGCUUGAGCCGCGUCAAUAUCUCCUUUUUUCCACACACCUCUCUCUCUCUCUCUCUCUCUCUCUCUCUCUCUCUCUCUCAAGCUAGUUCUCCUUCUAUGUGAUCGGUUGAUUCACAGGGAAUUUGUUGUCGAUCGAUGAUGACAUUGAGACAGGUGUGAAAUGCCAAGCGGCAGCAACCAUUACCGCAACGUACGUGAGCUUGGGCCUACCAAACUCUGGUUUCAGUUGGGAUUGCAUUUAUUUCUCUCCGUUCUCUUGUCUACUUACAAACAAACCCAGGCAGUUGUAGCCAGACUGAUGUCCUUAGAAUCAAUAUUACUUUUUGGUAAUUGAAUUGCGCCUGAGUAGAUCUGUGGUUUAGUCGAAUUUAAGCUGAACUUUUUAAUGCAGUUUCGUAGACCAAUUUACGAAUUCGCUUUUAUAUUCCUACCCUUUUUUUGCACCAAGAGGUACCGUAGACGGAAGAUUUAGAUUGAGGAUGAUGAGAUAAGAUUCCAACUUGAGCCCUCUGUGUUCGCCAUUGUCAAGAGUCAAAGCAUUCAAAUAAGGAUGCAUUACCAGAAAAAAGUGUUGUCUUAUUGCGCUGACCAAAAAGCUUUUGAACUCGCUAGUGUGCGCUUGCUCAUAUUAUCAAGCUUUGAUUCAGUUUCUGUCCAGGAAAUCGCUCGUCGUAUGUUUGACUCAAGAAACGAAAGGGAUAAUACAGUAAGAAUUUAUCUGGUGUAAAAAUAUAUCUUGCAGAAAUAUUCUAUUGAACCCCAACCACGACAGGGAAAUCUUUCAGUUGGCUGUGGUUUCCAUAGUUGUCCCAUCUCUUGUAUAUCUACCAGUGCUCUACUCGAAGUGCUGUUGAAGGAAAUAUGUAAUUCUAAUUUGGUUUUCCCUCUAGAAGAUGUAGAGAGAUGAGGUCUUGCUGAGGAGAUCGGUGGAAGCUGAUAUUCAGGUGGCUGUAGCUUUUGGUUUGUCAUUUUCUAGAAUCAUGGGUUCCCCACUUUGAAGGGAGUUUGGAGCUGACAGGAGAAGCCCUUAAUUAUGAGGGCAACAUAAUUACCAUGUCCCAUUAUAUCAUAUCACAUCAAUCCAAAACAUACCGCGCCUGCCAUGUUUUGACA